RNAcentral lists this non-coding RNA (31 nucleotides) under Homo sapiens (human). The record is from RNAcentral. Lineage: Eukaryota; Metazoa; Chordata; Mammalia; Primates; Hominidae.
UCCACAAUCCUAACAAUUAUCCUCUACUGCC